CUAUCCAGUUCAUUAGCACUCUUCAUCCUCCUUUGCUGUAACCUUAAAGUCUACGCCUGCUUAUGCAAAAUCUUAGUGCAGAAAACACAGCUGGGAGAGUCUUUGGAUAUGUUAAAAGAGGACUGCUUCACAGAUAUCCUUCAGUUGGACUGAUAUUCUGCAUCACUAAGCUUUAAAAUAAGCUGGAGGAGCAAAGGCCUGGAGCCCGGGAGAACGGAGGAGCAGGGGGAAGGGAACACAGGGCUCAGCUGAGAGAUGGCGUUUAUGGGUUAUCUGGACAGGCUCCAUAUAGAUUCAACAGGCAAAUUCGAUGUCCACCAAAGCUCGUGCCAGCAUGCUGCUCUUGAUGGCAUGUGGCUUUGCUCUGCUCCACGGUAGGCGAGGCGACGGAAGAGCACGUGCCCUGCGGCAAGCUAAGGAGCACGUCGCAGACUGGCCAUUGCCGUGGCAGCCGUCUUGCAAACUCCCAGUGACCUCAGACAACAACGACAAAAAGGCUAAAUGUGAAAGUUCCCUAGUGUGUUGUUCUUUUGUUUUGGUUUGGUUUUUUGUUUUUUAACAUUUUCUUGUCGUUUUUGGAAAUAAGUAUUGCUGUUAACAGCUUUUAACAAGUCUGUUUUUUCUUUCUGCUAAAAAAUGGAACCAAGUGAAAAUAUGGGAGUCUUUUAAGGUCCUCCUUCAAUCUUCCCAUUGAAUUUGAACACAAAAAAAAAAAAAAAAACACAAAUAAAACAGUGUUGAGGCUUAAAAGAGAAAAGCUAUGAGAAUUAGGACUUGUUUUAUGGCAUUUUAUGCAAGUAUUCUUACCAGAAGAAAAAAAAAAGGAGAAAAAUAAAUAUUAUGUUAUCUAGUCAGUAUGCGUUGUUUAAUCUAAAUGGCAGUACUUUUCUUUUUCAACUGCUUUGGGAGACAAUUAUCUCCCUCAUUUUCGCAAUUGAUUUUCUUAGCUGAGUUAUCUUUAGGCUGUUUUUGUGUAACAGCAAAAUAAAAAUAUUCCAAUAGUAAUUGUUGUGGAGCAUGAUCAUGUGUGUAGGAUGACACGCAACUGAAUAGCCUCUAAAGCUCCCCUGUCUUUGUCUAAGACUUCGUGCUGAGUUGGAUAUGUCAUUAUUAGCCUGAUAAUUGCCCAGAGUCAAAUACAACUUGUCUAUGAGCAUCAGAGUUAAUAAAGCCUGGUUUGCUGCA
This is a long non-coding RNA of Rhea pennata, 1185 nucleotides long. RefSeq lists it as uncharacterized. NCBI's taxonomy places the organism in Eukaryota, Metazoa, Chordata, Aves, Rheiformes, Rheidae. The transcript is spliced from 3 exons. The record is from RefSeq and is a predicted model, not a curated record.